GUGCUUGGUUUGGUAGCACAGAUGCUAACAUUGGAUGAAACAGAUUAUUAGCAUGGCCCCUGCACAAGGAUGAGGCACAAAUUUGUGAAGCAUUCCAUAUUUUU
Molecule: small nuclear RNA, 104 nt
Organism: Phyllostomus hastatus (greater spear-nosed bat)
Lineage: Eukaryota; Metazoa; Chordata; Mammalia; Chiroptera; Phyllostomidae
Source: RefSeq, a predicted model, not a curated record